Molecule: ribosomal RNA, 393 nt
Filed under: uncultured bacterium
Lineage: Bacteria
Description: partial 16S ribosomal RNA
Rfam family: Bacterial small subunit ribosomal RNA
Source: RNAcentral
AUACGGGGGAUUCAAGCGUUAUCCGGACUUAUUGGGUUUAAAGGGUGCGUAGGCUGAUAAAUCAGUCAGCGGUGAAAUUUACGGGCUUAACUUGUAGCUUGCCGUUGAAACUAUUUAUCUAGAGAUAUUUCGGCGUAUGCGGAAUGUAUCAAGUAGCGGUGAAAUGCGUAGAUAUGCCACAGAACGCCGAUAGCGGAGGCAGCUCGCAAGGCCGGCAUUGACGCUCGGGCACGAAAGCGUGGGGAUCGAACAGGAUUAGAUACCCUGGUAGUCCACGCCGUAAACGAUGGGCGCUCGUCGUCGGCGGCAGACAGUCGGCGGCCAAGCGAAAGCGAUAAGCGCCCCACCUGGGGAGUACGGUCGCAAGGCUGAAACUCAAAUGAAUUGACGGGG